GACGAACGCUGGCGGCGUGCUUAACACAUGCAAGUCGAACGGAAAGGCCUGCUUUCCCUUGUGGAUUGCGGGUACUCGAGUGGCGAACGGGUGAGUAACACGUGAGUGAUCCGCCCCCAACUUGGGUAUAAGCCUGGGAAACUGGGUCUAAUUCCCGAUAGGACUGCAGGGUGGUGCCUGUGGUGGAAAACGAUUUUCUAGUGGUUGGGGAUGAGCUCGCGGCCUAUCAGCUUGUUGGUGGGGUAAUGGCCUACCAAGGCGGCGACGGGUAGCCGGCCUGGGAGGGUGGACGGCCACAUUGGGACUGAGAUACGGCCCAGACUCCUACGGGAGGCAGCAGUGGGGAAUAUUGCACAAUGGGCGGAAGCCUGAUGCAGCGACGCCGCGUGGGGGAUGACGGCCUUCGGGUUGUAAACUCCUUUCGACCGCGAGGAAGCCACCUGGUUGGAAGGGUGGUGACGGUAGUGGUAGAAGAAGCACCGGCUAACUACGUG
RNAcentral lists this ribosomal RNA (494 nucleotides) under uncultured bacterium. RNAcentral describes it as "partial 16S ribosomal RNA". It matches the Rfam family "Bacterial small subunit ribosomal RNA", at positions 28 to 507 of the family's 1533-position model. The record is from RNAcentral.